UAUAUUUCACAACUGCAAAGUAAUGUAUGUGAGGCAAUGAGGCACCUUUUAAACCAUCUGAGACUGUGAGCCAGCACUUCAUCUAUGUGUGUAUAUACGCCACGCUGAGUGAUCCCGGUCCAUGGGGCAUGUUAUUUAUGGACGGGCUGAAAGGGAUACAUGUGUGAUUGAGAUGAGGUAUUUUUUCCACAAGUUACUGCGUUGGUUAAAAAGCUGGUAUACUUAGAUACCAUGUCUCUGCUGGUGUUUGUCCCGCCCCUUACCGUCCUCAUAGGCAGACAAAGCUGUCACUCUUAAAAAGAUUAUCACACAUCAGGAUUAAUUCAUGAAGCACGUUGUGGGGUCAUUAACCCAUUAAGGUCAAAUUAGGUGGGUCCUAGUUUCAUUAUUGAAAAAGACAAAUGAUCUUGAUCCAUAUUUAAUGGCUGGUAGGCUGCAUGCAUUUAAGGGUUUGAAAAAAAUCACAAAAAAAUCACAUUUCUUUAAGAAUAUAUAUUAAUUGAUAAAUUACUAAUUGGUCCACUUUAGGAGGUGAUGUCAUUCCUCCUCCCCUAUAUAAGUUAGGCCUUGUUCCUCAUGCUUCAUUGCAUGGAGGUUUGGACAAUCACUGACUUGCUGUUGGAAGGUUCCAAAAUCCAUUUAUUCAUACUAGGAUCUCUCGUAUGCAUAAGCUCCAUUGUUUGAGCUGACCUUUGAGGUUCUUUUGGGUUGGAAUUAGCCGACUUCAUUAUCAUCUUGAACCUCCUCUAUUGAUGGUUAGAAUUUGUGUAAUAGACUCUAGAGGUUGGAGUGACAUUACCACAAUGGUGGUUAUCGAAUUUUCCUUAUGAAUAUCCUUGAUUGUCUGGGUCCAUCAAAAUAGUUAUUUUUUGUCAUUAUUUAUCAAAAAUCAGAGGGUUUUUAAAUAGGAUUUACAUCUUUCACAGACCCAUAGAUAUUGGGAAUAGAGGUCCAGUGGAUCUAUAAAACUGUGCGAAUAAUUUGAAUUCUAAAUGGUGUGGUGAGCCUGACCAUUUCACAGAUUGUCAGUAUCUGAAUUGAUUGUAUAGCUUCUUUGACCAUCCCUCUGAAGAAGUCCUAUGUGGACGAAACGCGUCAGAGUUGAAGAGACUUAUACUACCCUUCAUUUCAUUUAUUGCACAAAUUUUAACUGUGUAUAUGAAAGGGUUAUCUCUGUUUGUGUAAAUGUGCUUUUAAUAAAUUGUUUUUUAUGAUCA
Pseudophryne corroboree (corroboree frog) is the source of this 1217-nucleotide long non-coding RNA. RefSeq lists it as uncharacterized. The transcript is spliced from 7 exons. The record is from RefSeq and is a predicted model, not a curated record. NCBI's taxonomy places the organism in Eukaryota, Metazoa, Chordata, Amphibia, Anura, Myobatrachidae.